This 207-nucleotide unclassified non-coding RNA is filed under the name Hevea brasiliensis (rubber tree). Lineage: Eukaryota; Viridiplantae; Streptophyta; Magnoliopsida; Malpighiales; Euphorbiaceae. The record is from RNAcentral.
UGCCUUUAGAGAGGUUGUAGAUGUUUAUAGGACACUAGAAAUUAUUUCUAGCAAUUUUAAUUCAAAGAAAACAAUUGUUUUCUCUUUGAAUUUAUGAGAGAUGAAUAAGAAGAGAAGGAGAGGCAGCCAAGGGUGGCAGCACCAAAGAGAGAACAAUAGCUUAUGUUUUUUGUUCUUUCAUCCUUAUACUUAUAUAGCUAGGUCACU